UCGAGAAUUUUUCUCAAUGGACGAAAGUCUGAAGGAGCGACGCCGCGUGGGGGAUGAAUGGCUUCGGCCCGUAAACCCCUGUCAUUUGCGAACAAACCUUACGUUUUAAUAGAGCGUGAGCUGAUUGUAGCGAAAGAGGAAGGGACGGCUAACUCUGUGCCAGCAGCCGCGGUAAUACAGAGGUCCCAAGCGUUGUUCGGAUUCACUGGGCGUAAAGGGUGCGUAGGUGGUCGGGUAAGUCUGAUGUGAAAGCUCUGGGCUCAACCCAGAAAUGGCAUUGGAUACUAUCUGGCUUGAGGAAUGGAGGGGGGACUGGAAUACUUGGUGUAGCAGUGAAAUGCGUAGAUAUCAAGUGGAACACCAGUGGCGAAGGCGAGUCCCUGGACAUUUCCUGACACUGAGGCACGAAAGCUAGGGGAGCAAACAG
This 427-nucleotide ribosomal RNA is filed under the name uncultured bacterium. RNAcentral describes it as "bacterial SSU rRNA". It matches the Rfam family "Bacterial small subunit ribosomal RNA", at positions 355 to 775 of the family's 1533-position model. The record is from RNAcentral.